GACGAACGCUGGCGGCGUGCUUAACACAUGCAAGUCGAACGAAAAGAGGGAAAGAGCUUGCUCUUUCCGGAAUUGAGUGGCAAACGGGUGAGUAACACGUAAACAACCUGCCUUCAGGAUGGGGACAACAGACGGAAACGACUGCUAAUACCGAAUAAGUUCCAAGGGCCGCAUGGCCCAUGGAAGAAAAGGUGGCCUCUACCUGUAAGCUAUCGCCUGAAGAGGGGUUUGCGUCUGAUUAGCUGGUUGGAGGGGUAACGGCCCACCAAGGCGACGAUCAGUAGCCGGUCGGGGAGGAGGAACGGCCACACUGGAACGGGGACACGGCCCAGACUCCUACGGGAGGCAGCAGGGGGGAAUCUUCCGCAAGGGGCGAAAGCCUGACGGAGCAACGCCGCGGGAGUGAUGACGGCCUUCGGGUUGUAAAACUCUGUGUUCCGGGACGAAAAGGCAGAGUGCGAAGAACAAACUGCAUUGACGGUACCGGAAAAGCAAGCCACGGCUAACUACGUG
RNAcentral lists this ribosomal RNA (513 nucleotides) under uncultured bacterium. RNAcentral describes it as "partial 16S ribosomal RNA". It matches the Rfam family "Bacterial small subunit ribosomal RNA", at positions 28 to 507 of the family's 1533-position model. The record is from RNAcentral.